GGGAUGGACCUGCGGUGCAUUAGCUAGUUGGUAAGGUAACGGCUUACCAAGGCGAUGAUGCAUAGCCGAGUUGAGAGACUGAUCGGCCACAAUGGAACUGAGACACGGUCCAUACUCCUACGGGAGGCAGCAGUAGGGAAUCUUCCACAAUGGGCGCAAGCCUGAUGGAGCAACACCGCGUGAGUGAAGAAGGGUUUCGGCUCGUAAAGCUCUGUUGUUGGAGAAGAACGUGCGUGAGAGUAACUGUUCACGCAGUGACGGUAUCCAACCAGAAAGUCACGGCUAACUACGUGCCAGCAGCCGCGGUAAUACGUAGGUGGCAAGCGUUAUCCGGAUUUAUUGGGCGUAAAGCGAGCGCAGGCGGUUGCUUAGGUCUGAUGUGAAAGCCUUCGGCUUAACCGAAGAAGUGCAUCGGAAACCGGGCGACUUGAGUGCAGAAGAGGACAGUGGAACUCCAUGUGUAGCGGUGGAAUGCGUAGAUAUAUGGAAGAACACCAGUGGCGAAGGCGGCUGUCUGGUCUGCAACUGACGCUGAGGCUCGAAAGCAUGGGUAGCGAACAGGAUUAGAUACCCUGGUAGUCCAUGCCGUAAACGAUGAGUGCUAGGUGUUGGAGGGUUUCCGCCCUUCA
Molecule: ribosomal RNA, 629 nt
Filed under: uncultured bacterium
Lineage: Bacteria
Description: bacterial SSU rRNA
Rfam family: Bacterial small subunit ribosomal RNA
Source: RNAcentral